This 71-nucleotide transfer RNA is filed under the name Marmota monax (woodchuck). Its description in RNAcentral is "tRNA.Ala". Lineage: Eukaryota; Metazoa; Chordata; Mammalia; Rodentia; Sciuridae. The record is from RNAcentral.
GGGGAUGUGGCUCAAGAGGUAGCGCACUCACCUGGCACGUGUGCGGCCUGGGUUCGAUCCUCAGCACCACA